This 372-nucleotide ribosomal RNA is filed under the name uncultured organism. Its description in RNAcentral is "bacterial SSU rRNA". It matches the Rfam family "Bacterial small subunit ribosomal RNA", at positions 526 to 896 of the family's 1533-position model. The record is from RNAcentral.
CGGGGGGGGUAAGCGUUGUUCGGAAUUACUGGGCGUAAAGGGCUCGUAGGCGGCCAACUAAGUCAGACGUGAAAUCCCUCAGCUUAACUGGGGAACUGCGUCUGAUACUGGAUGGCUUGGAUUUGGGAGAGGGAUGCGGAAUUCCAGGUGUAGCGGUGAAAUGCGUAGAUAUCUGGAGGAACACCGGUGGCGAAGGCGGCAUCCUGGACCAACAUUGACGCUGAGGAGCGAAAGCCAGGGGAGCAAACGGGAUUAGAUACCCCGGUAGUCCUGGCCCUAAACGAUGAAUGCUUGGUGUGGCGGGUAUCGAUCCCUGCCGUGCCGAAGCUAACGCAUUAAGCAUUCCGCCUGGGGAGUACGGUCGCAAGGCUG